AAUCUCUCUCGGUUGGUAUUAAUGCCGUUGAGGUUGAGGCUGCCCAGUGGCUCUCUGCAGAUUCCGUUGAUACUAAGUGGAGAGCUAGUGUGCGU
MicroRNA precursor from Equus asinus (donkey), 95 nucleotides. The record is from Ensembl. NCBI's taxonomy places the organism in Eukaryota, Metazoa, Chordata, Mammalia, Perissodactyla, Equidae.